ACACAUGCAAGUCGAACGAGCGAGAGAGAGCUUGCUUUCUCGAGCGAGUGGCGAACGGGUGAGUAACGCGUGAGGAACCUGCCUCAAAGAGGGGGACAACAGUUGGAAACGACUGCUAAUACCGCAUAAGCCCACGGUGCCGCAUGGCACAGAGGGAAAAGGAGCAAUCCGCUUUGAGAUGGCCUCGCGUCCGAUUAGCUAGUUGGUGGGGUAACGGCCCACCAAGGCGACGAUCGGUAGCCGGACUGAGAGGUUGAACGGCCACAUUGGGACUGAGACACGGCCCAGACUCCUACGGGAGGCAGCAGUGGGGAAUAUUGCACAAUGGGGGAAACCCUGAUGCAGCGACGCCGCGUGGAGGAAGAAGGUCUUCGGAUUGUAAACUCCUGUUGUUGGGGAAGAUAAUGACGGUACCCAACAAGGAAGUGACGGCUAACUACGUGCCAGCGGCCGCGGUAAAACGUAGGUCACAAGCGUUGUCCGGAAUUACUGGGUGUAAAGGGAGCGCAGGCGGGAAGACAAGUUGGAAGUGAAAUCUAUGGGCUCAACCCAUAAACUGCUUUCAAAACUGUUUUUCUUGAGUAGUGCAGAGGUAGGCGGAAUUCCCGGUGUAGCGGUGGAAUGCGUAGAUAUCGGGAGGAACACCAGUGGCGAAGGCGGCCUACUGGGCACCAACUGACGCUGAGGCUCGAAAGUGUGGGUAGCAAACAGGAUUAGAUACCCUGGUAGUCCACACCGUAAACGAUGAUUACUAGGUGUUGGAGGAUUGACCCCUUCAGUGCCGCAGUUAACACAAUAAGUAAUCCACCUGGGG
This 814-nucleotide ribosomal RNA is filed under the name uncultured bacterium. RNAcentral's name for it is "bacterial SSU rRNA". It matches the Rfam family "Bacterial small subunit ribosomal RNA", at positions 51 to 878 of the family's 1533-position model. The record is from RNAcentral.